CCUACGGGUGGCAGCAGUCGAGAAUUUUUCACAAUGGGCGCAAGCCUGAUGGAGCGACGCCGCGUGGGGGAUGAAUGGCUUCGGCCCGUAAACCCCUGUCAUUCGCGAUCAAACCUUAUUAUUUAAAAGAUGAUGAGCUGAUAGUAGCGGAAGAGGAAGGGACGGCUAACUCUGUGCCAGCAGCCGCGGUAAUACAGAGGUCCCAAGCGUUGUUCGGAUUCACUGGGCGUAAAGGGUGCGUAGGUGGUGAGGUAAGUCGGAUGUGAAAUCUCGGAGCUCAACUCCGAAAUGGCAUUGGAAACUACCUUGCUCGAGGGUUGGAGGGGGGACUGGAAUACUUGGUGUAGCAGUGAAAUGCGUAGAUAUCAAGUGGAACACCAGUGGCGAAGGCGAGUCCCUGGACAACUCCUGACACUGAGGCACGAAAGCUAGGGGAGCAA
This 440-nucleotide ribosomal RNA is filed under the name uncultured bacterium. RNAcentral's name for it is "bacterial SSU rRNA". It matches the Rfam family "Bacterial small subunit ribosomal RNA", at positions 338 to 771 of the family's 1533-position model. The record is from RNAcentral.